This 372-nucleotide ribosomal RNA is filed under the name uncultured organism. Its description in RNAcentral is "bacterial SSU rRNA". It matches the Rfam family "Bacterial small subunit ribosomal RNA", at positions 526 to 896 of the family's 1533-position model. The record is from RNAcentral.
CAGAGGUCCCGAGCGUUGUUCGGAUUCACUGGGCGUAAAGGGUGCGUAGGUGGUGGGGUAAGUCGGAUGUGAAAUCUCCGGGCUCAACCCGGAAAACGCAUUGGAAACUACCUUGCUAGAGGUUUUGAGGGGGGACUGGAAUUCUCGGUGUAGCAGUGAAAUGCGUAGAUAUCGAGAGGAACACCGGUGGCGAAGGCGAGUCCCUGGAAAACACCUGACACUGAGGCACGAAAGCUAGGGGAGCAAACAGGAUUAGAUACCCUGGUAGUCCUAGCCCUAAACGGUGCUUGCUUGCUGUAAGUGGAAUCGACCCCACUUGUGGCGGAGCUAACGCGUUAAGCAAGCCGCCUGGGAAGUACGGUCGCAAGAUUA